RNAcentral lists this transfer RNA (80 nucleotides) under Sulfitobacter sediminilitoris. RNAcentral's name for it is "tRNA-Thr". It matches the Rfam family "tRNA". Rfam says of the family: Transfer RNA (tRNA) molecules are approximately 80 nucleotides in length. Their secondary structure includes four short double-helical elements and three loops (D, anti-codon, and T loops). The record is from RNAcentral. Lineage: Bacteria; Pseudomonadati; Pseudomonadota; Alphaproteobacteria; Rhodobacterales; Roseobacteraceae.
GCCUAUUCCUAUAGCUCAGCUGGUAGAGCAACUGAUUUGUAAUCAGUAGGUCCGCGGUUCGAGUCCGUGUGGGGGCACCA